This 679-nucleotide ribosomal RNA is filed under the name uncultured fungus. RNAcentral describes it as "eukaryotic LSU rRNA". The stretch from base 282 to 435 matches the Rfam family "5.8S ribosomal RNA". The record is from RNAcentral. Lineage: Eukaryota; Fungi.
AAGUCGUAACAAGGUUUCCGUAGGUGAACCUGCGGAAGGAUCAUUAUUGAAUAAACUUGGUCAAGCUGUUGCUGGUCCUUCGGGGCAUGUGCACGCUUGCCACCAAAUUUAACCACCUGUGCACCUUUUGUAGACUGGAAAACAGUUUCUCGAGGCAACUCGGAUUGGGGACUGCUGUGCGCAAGCCGGCUGUCCUUGUGUUUCUCAGUCUAUGUUCUUACAUACCCCGAAUGAAUGUAUUAGAAUGUAUUGUUAGGCCUUAGUGCCUUUAAAUCAAAUACAACUUUCAACAACGGAUCUCUUGGCUCUCGCAUCGAUGAAGAACGCAGCGAAAUGCGAUAAGUAAUGUGAAUUGCAGAAUUCAGUGAAUCAUCGAAUCUUUGAACGCACCUUGCACCCUUUGGUAUUCCGAAGGGUAUGCUCGUUUGAGUGUCAUUGUACUCUCACACUUCUGAUUCGUUUUGGAUUAGGAGCGGUGGACUUGGGUGGUUGCUGCUUUACUGUGGCUCACCUCAAAUGAGUUAGUGCAACUCUUGGUUGGACAUAGUACGGCGUGAUAAGUGUCUUCGCCGGCGCCUCUAAGGAGGGUGGCCGAUUGGGAGCUCUGUGCUUCAAACCGUCUUCGGACAAUCUCUGACAACUUGGCCUCAAAUCGAGUAGGACUACCCGCUGAACUUAA